UGGGGAAUAUUGGGCAAUGGGGGAAACCCUGACCCAGCAACGCCGUGUGAAGGAAGAAGGCUUUCGGGUUGUAAACUUCUUUUAUCCAGGGAGCGAAGGACGUGACGGUACCUGGAGAAAAAGCAACGGCUAACUACGUGCCAGCAGCCGCGGUAAUACGUAGGUUGCAAGCGUUGUCCGGAUUUACUGGGUGUAAAGGGCGUGUAGGCGGAGAAGCAAGUUGGGAGUGAAAUUCCAUGGGCUCAACCCAUGAACUGCUCUCAAAACUGUUUCCCCUUGAGUAUCGGAGAGGCAAGCGGAAUUCCUAGUGUAGCGGUGAAAUGCGUAGAUAUUAGGAGGAACACCAGUGGCGAAGGCGGCUUGCUGGACGACAACUGACGCUGAGGCGCGAAAGCGUGGGGAGCAAACAGGAUUAGAUACCC
RNAcentral lists this ribosomal RNA (422 nucleotides) under uncultured bacterium. RNAcentral describes it as "bacterial SSU rRNA". It matches the Rfam family "Bacterial small subunit ribosomal RNA", at positions 355 to 787 of the family's 1533-position model. The record is from RNAcentral.